RNAcentral lists this long non-coding RNA (681 nucleotides) under Sus scrofa (pig). Its description in RNAcentral is "lncRNA (ENSSSCG00030034019.1)". The record is from RNAcentral. Lineage: Eukaryota; Metazoa; Chordata; Mammalia; Artiodactyla; Suidae.
ACAAAGAACAGACAGUGAGAGAGCAGACAGCUCCAUCCACGCUGCUUUAGGAUUUGGGGAAUUUUCCAGGGAUUGCAAAGCUCCAUAAAGCCAAGUUCCUUUUUGACUUCCGAGGAGCUGGGCGUGGGGUCUGGGAAGCCUGCAGAAAACCUCUUAGCCGUUCCCCUGCAAAUGUACUUGACUUCUCAAGCUGCAUUCCAGAGGACUUCACCCUGAGGACUUUUUUUUUUCUUUUACAAAAAACCUGUUCUGGAGGCUGCGUGGGAGCCUGGCUGGAAGAAGGAACCGGCUCUGCCAGCCCCGGCGCCUGUGCUGGAGCCCGGCGAGCAAGGUCAGCCGGUGGCCGGCCACGUCCAUGGCCACGUCCCUGAUCAGGAAGGGGUUGCAGGCCCCCGGCUGGAGCAGGAGGGUGAGGAAGACUAUGCGAGAUGGAGGGCAGCUGCCGAGGCGUGCUGGCUGCGCUGGUCGUUCUGGCUGGGCUGGCAGCUUGUGGAUCCGGCAAUGAAAUCUUAGAGGGUCCCAGCAACGUCACGGUGGUGAAGGGCUCGGAGGCUCGCUUCAACUGCACCAUCUCCCAGGGCUGGAAGCUCAUCAUGUGGGCUCUGAAAGGCACGGUGGUUCUGAGCGUCACGCCCACCGAGCCCAUCAUCACCAACGACCGAUUCACGUCUGCAAGUUAUG